This 530-nucleotide small RNA is filed under the name Pan troglodytes (chimpanzee). Its description in RNAcentral is "processed transcript". The record is from RNAcentral. Lineage: Eukaryota; Metazoa; Chordata; Mammalia; Primates; Hominidae.
AGGAAAGUGCAGAUAACAUACUCUCCAUUGUUAAACAAAGAACAGGAUCUUUUGGGGAUCGUCCUGCAAGACCUACUCUUUUAGAACAAGUGUUAAAUCAAAAAAGACUGUCGUUACUAAGAAGUCCAGAAGUAGUGCAAUUUUUACAGAAACAGCAACAGCUAUUAAAUCAGCAAGUUUUGGAGCAAAGACAACAGCAGUUUCCAGGAGCAUCAAUUUAAGACUGAAGCUGUCAAAGAGGAAAACUUUAAAACUUUAAAAAGGCAAACCUACCAAUAGGAAUAACAAAUUAAAUGUCAAGAGAGUAUAUCCAAUAUUAGGAUAUAAAUGUAUGUGUCUCAAGUUUAACUCUACAAAAAUUUGUUACUUGUUUUUUAAACUCUAUAUAUAAAGUUCAACUUAAUCAUGGCUGUUCUAAGAAGUACUUAUGGAGAGCAAGAAUGUUUUUGUUCAUUUCUUAAUGUGUGUGUUUUUACUUGCAUAUCUGUUCAAAACACUUUUAACAAAAUUCAUUAAAGUCCAGUUGUUGA